Molecule: small RNA, 40 nt
Filed under: Arabidopsis thaliana (thale cress)
Lineage: Eukaryota; Viridiplantae; Streptophyta; Magnoliopsida; Brassicales; Brassicaceae
Source: RNAcentral
UCAGUAGAUUAUUUAGAACUUCGGAAGAUGGUCAAGGUAC